AGAUCCGAACGGGAAUCGCUAUAACAUUUUUUACAUACAGCUGAAAAAGAGGAAGAACUAUGUUAUAUAUACCUUGAUUGAAUGAUGCUUUUCGAGAAGAUGCAAUAAAUUGUGAACGAUUUACUGGCUAUAGAACUGACCGCCAAAUCACAACACACCAAUGACGAUAUUUGAACUCCGACCGUCUUUAAAAUUGAACUAAGGUACUCAACUUCACUUUACGAGGACGAUCGAGCUCGAAGAAGGUAUCACUUUGACGCCUGAAAAAAGUGGAAAUGAUAUCGGAUUUCGGCGAGACGUAGUUGGUUCUGGCUAUAUGGUGCCCCGAUUGCUGCCGGCUGCAUUGGUCCCAUAGCUGACAAUAAAUUUGGCCAGGAGUUGGUUUCCGUUCCCAUCUUGAUGUUGAAGAGUUCGAUGGUAGCAGUUAGCAUGGAUGCAAAGAAAUUUCAUG
Long non-coding RNA from Uranotaenia lowii, 451 nucleotides. RefSeq lists it as uncharacterized. Lineage: Eukaryota; Metazoa; Arthropoda; Insecta; Diptera; Culicidae. The record is from RefSeq and is a predicted model, not a curated record. The transcript has 3 exons.